Molecule: signal recognition particle RNA, 99 nt
Filed under: Acidimicrobiia bacterium
Lineage: Bacteria; Bacillati; Actinomycetota; Acidimicrobiia
Description: signal recognition particle sRNA small type
Rfam family: Bacterial small signal recognition particle RNA
About the family: The signal recognition particle (SRP) is a universally conserved ribonucleoprotein involved in the co-translational targeting of proteins to membranes. Archaeal SRP consists of a 7S RNA and homologues of the eukaryotic SRP19 and SRP54 proteins.
Source: RNAcentral
GGUCGGGUCCUGUGCAACUGCGGCUCGUGAACCGAGUCAGGGCCGGAAGGCAGCAGCUCUCAGCGAAACCCACGGUGUGCCGCAGGUCGCCUGACCGCC